CUCCUUCUCCAGACCAAACGCCUCCUUCAGCAAGGCCGCUACAGCAGCAGUUGUACAGGUGUCAGCGCCCUCUGGAACUCCGACUAUCCUAACGUUAUUGCGCCGUGACCUCGACUCCAAAUCCUCACAUUUAUUCUCCAACUCGCACUCUACAGUCGCAGUGAGAGACUCGAUAGUAGUCUUCAUCUGAGCUAUGGCAUCGGUGCAACCGGAGAGCGCGUGAUCCAUUUCCUCAACAGUACCUUUCAGUGUUGAUAUGGUAGCAUCGGUAGCAACUUUAUCACUAACCAGCGGUGUCUUCACGGCCUGCAUCAAGCUGGAUAGUAGCCAGCGCACCCCGAGAGUCUCCUGGAGCUCCUUUUUAAAAAUAUCUGCAAUGUCUGUCCUCAGCGAAGCCAGCAACUCGAGCCUGAGGGCGGCGAAGUCAGGGUCGACGCGCGGCAAGGCGGAUUCAGGGGAACGAGGCGACUCACUCAAGGCAGUGGUCGUGGCGCGUACACUAGGACUCAGUUGUGUCUGAAUGGUACUACAAGUUCUCAUCUUUUUUCCAGACAUUUUAACGUCGUUCAAAGUUAAACGUGCAAACAAAAACCUAGUAGAGUAAGUCAAAAUCAAAUGUAUGGCUGAAAAGCGCAAGUUAAUUACAGUUUUAAUCAGAAACAGCAGGAGCCUCCUGUUCCAUGUUACUCCACUGGCAGCUCGGCAGCGCCCCGAAAUUUUUCGUUUCAGACAACUCAUCUGUCGUAUAGUUCCACGUUUAAUAAACAUUUAAAAUCCAUCGUUUUGACCCAAAAUGUUUUUGAAAGGUAACCACUUAACCUCAUGAACUCCACGAACCUGCUCAUGAAUCCAGUUUUGCAUUGUUUUCUUCUCAUAACUUUUGUAUUAGUUUCAGGAUCUCAUCAGAGUCAUCAGUCUCCGAACUCUCGUUAAAGUUAUAAGGCUAACGGUAAUACUCAGGACAGGGUUAGAGUUCUCUAGUCAAAUCCAUAAACCCAAGGGCUUUUGGGAAAUCAAUCAUUCCUUCACAUAAAUGUCUAUCUGCAAGGUUCCAGGGAGAAAAACCAGAUGAGUUCAUGGAUUUAUUAUCUGCUGCAGGAUGUCAUGAAUAAUUACUGAGGAAACCACUGAAUCCAUCAAGCUGAGGGAAAUGAACAGCAAAAAAAAUGGACUUUUGUUUCCAGGGAAUCGAUCGGGCACGUCGGUUUUCGUGACAAACUCGUCAUGACGACUGAGCCGUAAUGAGAGUAUCAUAAACCUGGAUGAUUGUGUAAGUAGACUGUGUGCUGGUAGAAUCAGAUGAAAAUAGAUAGAGUGGAAAAAAAAAUUACAAUAGCGAUAGCAGACGAUUACGGACCGAAUGUACUGAGGUGCAGCAAAGGGUUAAAGUGAGACUUAAUGAUUCUUAAAAACUUGGAGAGGGUACAGCUGUGAGUUUUCUGAUUGUAUCUGCAGUGUGAUGGAUAGCAAGGACCGAAAUCAUGGUCACUGCAUUACAGAAACAGUCAUGUCCACAGGAAAAAUAGUAAGAGCCAAUAACAUUUCAUCUUAACAGAUCUAUAUUUGAUAGAUAUCAUAUAGGUAUUAUAGAGGUCAUAAUGCAUUAUAUAGGUAGCAUAUAGCUCAUAAUGCAUUAUAUAGGUAGCAUAUAGGUCAUAAUGCAUUAUAUAGGUAUCAUAGAGGUAAUAAUGAAUUAUAUAGAUAUCAUAGAGGUAAUAAUGCAUUAUAUAGGUAUCAUAGAGGUCAUAAUGCAUUAUAUAGGUAUCAUAGAGGUAAUAAUGCAUUAUAUAGAUAUCAUAGAGGUAGCAUAGAGGUAAUAAUGAAUUAUAUAGAUAUCAUAGAGGUCAUAAUGCAUUAUAUAGAUAUCAUAGAGGUCAUAAUGCAUUUAUAG
Ictalurus punctatus (channel catfish) is the source of this 1891-nucleotide long non-coding RNA. NCBI's taxonomy places the organism in Eukaryota, Metazoa, Chordata, Actinopteri, Siluriformes, Ictaluridae. The record is from Ensembl.